RNAcentral lists this non-coding RNA (77 nucleotides) under Nitrosospira briensis. RNAcentral describes it as "SAH sequence". It matches the Rfam family "SAH (S-adenosyl-L-homocysteine) riboswitch aptamer". The record is from Rfam by way of RNAcentral. Lineage: Bacteria; Pseudomonadati; Pseudomonadota; Betaproteobacteria; Nitrosomonadales; Nitrosomonadaceae.
CCUGCCGAGGAGCGCUGCAACGGGCAAGUCCCGCGAGGCUCGGCAAGGAAGGAUUGCAACAACGGCGCUCGUUCAUU